Molecule: long non-coding RNA, 3011 nt
Filed under: Homo sapiens (human)
Lineage: Eukaryota; Metazoa; Chordata; Mammalia; Primates; Hominidae
Description: HSALNT0292223
Source: RNAcentral
CAAGGCCAUCAUUGGACACCUCCUCCAGGAAGCCCUGCUGGAAUGACCCAGAUUCAGCCACUUGACUCCCAGGUCUUCUUAAGUGAGGAGACGUCUCCAGCCUUGCUUCAAUACAUGCUUUCCAACUUCUGCACCUGUUCCACGGUUCCGUCCGCCUGAAGGCUCUCUCACUCUCCUCCAGAAAGACUUCCAUCUCCCUGCAGGGAAACUGGACACAUGGAGACAUUGAGCCACUGCCCAAAGUUACACAGGAAAGCCAGCUAUGUCAAUGUGGACACUCGAGCAGUCCUCUGGAGUGAGCCACAUGGUGAAAAAUGGAGUCCUCCUGCCACCAGCCAAAAGGGACUUGCCAACCUUGUGACUGAGCCGGCCCAGACACUCCAGCCCCAGUUAAACCUUUGGAAGACUGUGGCCUCACCAACAUCUUGACUGCAACUUCGUGAGAGACCCAGAGCUAGACCCAUGCAACUAAGCUGCUCCCCAAUUCCUGGCCCACAGACACUGGGAGAGAUAAUACAUGUUUAUUUCUGUUUGAAGCUGCUAAGUUUUGGGUAAUUUGUUUUGCAGCAAUAGGUAAUUGAUAGCAUUAGGAAACAUUAGCUAAUGCUAACAAUGUUUUGCAGAUGAGGGAAUUGAGGCAUAAAAGUAACUUGCCCCAGGUCACACAGGUAACAAGUCGUUUAAACCAUGGCAGUUUGGAUCUAUGUAAAGUUCAGUAAUAAAUUAGAAUCUCUCUUUUACAGGAAUCAGGACACUUUGCCUGCUCAGAGGGAGAGAGGGAAAGAGACAGAGACACAAACACAGAGAGACAGUGACAUGGAGAAGUGCGCCGUGGGCUCACAGUACCAUGUGAAGGACUGGGGCUGCCCUUCUGUAAAGUGAAGGCAGUGGAGAAGUGAAGUGAAGUGUAAGUGAAGAGGAAAGUGAAGGAUGGUAGAGAGCACCCUUGCCCUUGCAGCCUGGCUGUGUUUGGCUUGGGGCUGCUGGUCUCCGACCCUGGCUGGGCUGGUGACACAGCCUAAGGUACCUGGGGGUGGAAUCUGGCACCCCUGAGCAGACCCCUCCCUGGCUCUUGUCCCCCUGUGCUGACACUCUCUGUCCCAGGCUCUCUCUGCCUCCAGACCAGAGCUCCUCCAGGGAAAAGGUGGAGUCUUGUUCGUCUGUGUCCCUCACCUAGCAUAAGGCCUGCCAGAGCAGGCUGGGCGAGGUGAACACAGAAGGUCCUCUGGCCCUGGUACUGGAGAGGCAUCAUCACUGGGGACAGAGUGAGAACCAGGAUGAUGCUGUUUGUUACUGGAGGAGCUCCCAUUGGAUGGAGGAGCCAACAACGACAGGCCAGUGUGAUCAGGGAGAUUGGGACACACAGUGCCGUGGGGGCCCAGAGGAGCAGGGAGGAUCUCUGUGGAGGAGGCGAGAAGUCUUCCCAGAGGAGGAGGCAUUUGAGGUGAGGCCCAAACGGUAAACAGAAGCCAACCCAUGCGGGAGUGUUCUAGGCAGAGGGCAUGGCCUAGCAGAGGUCACAGCCUGGCAAAGUUCUGAAGCUCCAGUUCCUGGGGGGCAGUGUGAAAGAGUAGGCUGCUGGGGCUCCCAUGGCUCUGGAGACCAACAUGGGACUUGGGAGUGGCAGGGUGCCAUAUUGACAGCAGGUGAAAUAUCACCUACAUCUGUCUCAUGGGGAAUUCAUUACAUUUUGGGUUGGGUUUGGGAGUUUUCUUUGGAAACUCAGGGUAGGCAGGGUCUGUAAGCUUGAGUCAGCCCAGGAUGGAGAGGCAGGGUAGGGGAGAACCAAAGUCACCUGGGUGGCCGAAGCUUUACCAGGACCUCAGUGUCCAUUUGGUGUCUUGUGUGUUUCAAGGACUGAGCUUUCUCCCUUUGCCCCUCACAGAAAUUAACCAGUUUAUGUGCCCUGAAAAAUUCCCACUUCCACCCUCUGGGUUCGCAUGCUGGCUCAGUCACUUACUAGCUGUGUGACCUCUCUGCUGCUUAGCUUACUCAUCUGUAAAAUGGGAUAAACACAAAACCUGCCUGAUGGAGAUGUCGUAAGGAUCAAAGAGGAAAAAGAAUUUAAAACAUUUAGAAUGGUGCCUGACCCCCAGCAAGUAUACAAUAAAUAUUGGCUAUUGUUGUUAUUUUAUGUGGUUUUCUUUUAACUUUUUCAAGUAAAUAUAACUUACCUCAUGCUUGUUAUGUGUCAGGCCUUGUAUUUAUCCUCUGAAGACAAAGAUGAGGAAGACAUAGUCCUCCUAGGGGUACAAAUCCUUCAAUAAAGGCAGAAACAAGCAUUGGUCAAAUGUGCCCUGUGCCAAGAAUCCAGGAAUGCAGGAGAGCGGGCUCCUGUCCUCCAGCAGCUCACAGAGUGACGAGGGAGACAGUUGCAUAAGCAGACUGUGGCAACACAGGGUGGUCAGGGCUGCGGCAAAGGGAAGCCCAGGGACUGCAGGAGCCCGGGGAAGUGGCCCAAAGUGGGUGGAGGCUGAGAGGAGCCAGAAGGACCUCUGCUGAGGGGACUGUUGAGAGACAAGGAUUUGCCCACUUUGGCAACUGGCAUCCUUCUCCCUUGGGGAGGUCGGGGGAUGCCUGGGCUCAGUCUUGAUUCUGGGUAUUGGAAAGCCAUCAGGGUUUUGUGAACAGGGAAUUAUGUUUGAAUAAUAGUAACAAUAACUAACAUUUCUCAUGCAGCUACUAUAUACUGUAUGCUGUGCGUACACAAUCUCAUCUCAUAUCCUCACCACAAUGCUGUGAGAUAAGAAAGUGAGACUGGGAGAUAGGAUUGACUUUCCUAAGACCACAGAGUGGAGGAGGAGGAGGGACUGAGUUGGAUAGGUCAGUUUGGGCAGCAAGACGGGCUUCUAUCUUUAUCCCACAGUCCCAGGCACCAUUGUGCUUGACACAGAAUCCAAACUCCCAGCUGUGGCCUACAAAGCCCUGGUGAUCAGGGCCUUGCCAACUCCCUCCAGCCUCACCUGAGGCACCCACUCCUUCCCUGUCAUCAGGCCCCGGCCCACCUUGAU